RNAcentral lists this long non-coding RNA (233 nucleotides) under Chinchilla lanigera (long-tailed chinchilla). RNAcentral describes it as "lncRNA (ENSCLAG00000024565.1)". Lineage: Eukaryota; Metazoa; Chordata; Mammalia; Rodentia; Chinchillidae. The record is from RNAcentral.
GAAAGUCUAAUGGGCAACUGAGCACUGGUCACCUAUCCUUGGACAGCCAUGGACCUGACACUGAGAAUGGAACUUCAUUCAGGGAUGUGCUGGAGCUGACUGGGCUCAGACAGUGACCACAGAGAACUGCCAUUUGGAAUCAUUGCAUUCCUACAGGCAGGGCCCGGGCCUGUGGCCAAGGGUGAUGUUGGAGACACAGAGAAAAAUCAGACUCCCUCGUUUUUCUGAGGUAC